GGGGUCAGAUGGCAGGGGUUACAGGGGUCAUUCAGAGGUUAUGAGGUCAACAUGAUGACACAGAUGUGUACAUGCUACUAUUGUGUACGGGUGUCCCCGUUCCUGGAGUACCAUCCUGUAGGUUUUAACCCCAACCCUGUUCCUGGAGUACCAUCCUGUAGGUUUUAACCCCAACCCUGUUCCUGGAGUACCAUCCUGUAGGUUUUAACUCCAACCCUGUUCCUGGAGUACCAUCCUGUAGGUUUUAACUCCAACCCUGUUCCUGGAGUACCAUCCUGUAGGUUUUAACCCCAACCCUGUUCCUGGAGUACCAUCCUGUAGGUUUUAACUCCAACCCUGUUCCUGGAGUACCAUCCUGUAGGUUUUAACCCCAACCCUGUUCCUGGAGUACCAUCCUGUAGGUUUUAACCCCAACCCUGUUCCUGGAGUACCAUCCUGUAGGUUUUAACUCCAACCCUGUUCCUGGAGUACCAUCCUGUAGGUUUUAACUCCAACCCUGUUCCUGGAGUACCAUCCUGUAGGUUUUAACUCCAACCCUGUUCCUGGAGUACCAUCCUGUAGGUUUUAACUCCAACCCUGUUCCUGGAGUACCAUCC
Oncorhynchus keta (chum salmon) is the source of this 596-nucleotide long non-coding RNA. RefSeq lists it as uncharacterized. The transcript has 3 exons. The record is from RefSeq and is a predicted model, not a curated record. Lineage: Eukaryota; Metazoa; Chordata; Actinopteri; Salmoniformes; Salmonidae.